GAUGAAGAACGCAGCGAAAUGCGAUAAGUAGUGUGAAUUGCAGAAUUCCGUGAAUCAUCGAAUCUUUGAACGCACAUUGCGCCUUCUGGUAUUCCGGAAGGCAUGCCUGUUCGAGAGUCAUUAACAACCGUUUCGAUCCCUUUCUUUCAGAAAUUACAAAGAGGAAAAGGGUUUGGUUAUGGUGGAGGAGGGAAAGGGAGCGUUUAGCCUGUAAAAAAAGAGGCUGUGUUCCGCCUCCCCCCCAAAAUUGUACAGGCGGUCGUGUGCGCCCACGCAUCGAGGUGUUGUAAAAGCUGCCACGGCACUUUUCACCUGUGCAGUGCGAGAUUGGCAGCCGGUUUAAAAACCCCUCCAAACAAUCAAAGGUUGACCUCGGAUCAGGUAGGGAUACCCGCUGAACUUAAGCAUAUCAAUAAGCGGAGGA
Molecule: unclassified non-coding RNA, 424 nt
Filed under: soil metagenome
Description: partial contains 5.8S ribosomal RNA, internal transcribed spacer 2, and large subunit ribosomal RNA
Rfam family: 5.8S ribosomal RNA (bases 1-120)
Source: RNAcentral